This 976-nucleotide unclassified non-coding RNA is filed under the name Hevea brasiliensis (rubber tree). The record is from RNAcentral. Lineage: Eukaryota; Viridiplantae; Streptophyta; Magnoliopsida; Malpighiales; Euphorbiaceae.
AAGAAAUCAACAUUAUUUUUCAUAUUUAAAGAGUACGCAAAUGGAAUCGUUCAUACAGAAUCACCUCUGAUUUAGAAAACCAUGGGCAUUACCACUCACUGUCCUAGAAAAGAAAGCCCAAAACCAUGUGCUAGUAUAUAGCUUAUUUAAUUAUUUGGUAUUUCCACUUGCAAGUUUCAACACCCAUUUAUUGAGGGGACAAGACAACAAAAACUAGGACAUCCAAGAAAGACCCCAAUGUCAGAUCAAUGGCUUAGGGGGUGGUGGUGUUAGGCUUUUGAAUGAUAAAGGCCAUGCACUGACCCUGGUGCUUGUUGUCAAAUGCUAAGCAGCGGAUAUAUGCAUUUGGGUAUGCUUUUUUGCAUUCAUGGAUUUCAUUGAGCACUUGAGAUGAGUCAUUGCACCCAAACAUGGGGAGCUUCCAUAGUGUCCAGUACCUCCCAUCGUAGUAUCCUGGCAUUCGGCUAUUCUCUCUUUGCACAUGCCCCACCUCAUCGAAUUCAAGACAAGGGAUCCAUCCCUUUUUAAUCAUGUAGUCAAUCUCCUUCGCAAUUGAGUCAUCAGAAAGUGGAGGGAGGUAGGAUAGAGUUUCAAACUUCUUGUUAUUGAUUGGGUUCCAUGUCUUCAUACAAUGAGUUCUGGAGCCAUUGGAGAUAGUUUUGCGACUCCAUGCAAUAGAAUCCUUUGCAGGGAACAACUGUCUUGUUGAGUUGGCUUUGAGGCCUUGGCAACCAGACCCAGUAACGGCCGGAGCUGUAAAGAUUCCGGCGGUAGACAUCUUCUUUAAAGCAAGAAAUGAAAGAGAGGUGGAAGACUAGAAGAGGGACAAGGGAUCUUAGGAGUUUAUUUUCAAAGAUGAUAGAAACGGUUCAAGACAAGGACAAAAGGGGUUGGUUUUGGGGUUUGUGAGAAGCUAAGUAAGUGGUUUGUUAGAGAAGUGUCACUGAGAGGACGAUGGAUACAAGAUGGUGGGGAG